AACCUGCCUUGGAGAGGGGAAUAACACAGUGAAAAUUGUGCUAAUACCGCAUGAAGCAGUUGAGUCGCAUGGCUCUGACUGCCAAAGAUUUAUCGCUCUGAGAUGGCCUCGCGUCUGAUUAGCUAGUUGGUGGGGCAACGGCCCACCAAGGCGACGAUCAGUAGCCGGACUGAGAGGUUGACCGGCCACAUUGGGACUGAGACACGGCCCAGACUCCUACGGGAGGCAGCAG
RNAcentral lists this ribosomal RNA (232 nucleotides) under uncultured bacterium. Its description in RNAcentral is "partial 16S ribosomal RNA". It matches the Rfam family "Bacterial small subunit ribosomal RNA", at positions 123 to 354 of the family's 1533-position model. The record is from RNAcentral.